This is a long non-coding RNA of Dreissena polymorpha, 304 nucleotides long. RefSeq lists it as uncharacterized. NCBI's taxonomy places the organism in Eukaryota, Metazoa, Mollusca, Bivalvia, Myida, Dreissenidae. The transcript is spliced from 3 exons. The record is from RefSeq and is a predicted model, not a curated record.
CAAUUUCAGUAAAUGUACAUCUAAAAAUACUAUAAAUGCACGACAAUUGUACCUGUUUACAAGUGCGGGAUAUUUUGUUUUCAAAGUAAUGUUUAUAUUGGAUCUGUGAUUGGCAUGGGAAAUGGAAUGUUCAACGAAUUUGUGACCGGACUAUAUCUUUGAAGAAUCGUUGUACUCGCUAUGGUCGAAUAAACACAUACAUCGUUUGCAUCGUUUUGCAUAUAUGAGCAUACUUUGUUCGGGGAAACACGAAUAAUGAAAGGAAAGUGUGUGUUACAGUUAUUCAACCUUCUGAUAUUUAAAG